NNNNNNNNNNNNNNNNNGCCUGGCUGCAGCUGCCCGCGCCCUGACCCCCCACGGAGCCGGGUCCCCGCAUCCCCCCCGUCCCCGUGUCCCCCCAUUCCUGUGUCCCCAUGUCCCUGUGUCCCCAUAUCCCUGGGUCCCUCCAUCCCCGGGUCUCCAAGUCCCCAUGGCACCAUGUCCCCAUGUUCCCAUGGCACCAUGUCCCCACGUCCCCACCUCCCCAUGUCUCCAUGGCACCAUGUCCCCGUGUUCCCACAUCCCUGGGUCCCCAUGUCCCCGUGUCCCUACAUCUCCAUGUCCCUAUGUCCCAUGUCACCAUGUCCCUAUGAUCCCUGGGUCCCUCCAUCCCCGGGUCUCCAAGUCCCCAUGGCACCAUGUCCCCAUGUUCCCAUGGCACCAUGUCCCCACGUCCCCACCUCCCCAUGUCUCCAUGGCACCAUGUCCCCGUGUUCCCACAUCCCUGGGUCCCCAUGUCCCCGUGUCCCUACAUCUCCAUGUCCCUAUGUCCCAUGUCACCAUGUCCCUAUGACCCCGUGUCCCCACCUCCUCAUGUCUCCAUGUCCCCAUGUCCCUGUGUCCCCAUGUCCCCACAUCCCUGGGUCCCUGCAUCCUUGUGUCCCCAUGUCCCCACGUCCCCAUGGCACCGUGUCCCCAUGUCACCGUGUCCCUACAUCUCCAUAUCCCUAUGUCCCAUGUCACCAUGUCCCUAUGUCCCUGUGUCCCCACCUCCUCAUAUCUCCAUGUCCCCAUAUCCCCAUGUCCCCAUGGCCCUGUGUCCCCAUGGCACCAUGUCCCCAUGUCCCUGUGUCCCUACAUCCCCAUGUCCCAUGUCAGCAUGUCCCCAUGUCUCCCUGUCCCCGUGUCCCCAAGGCCCUGUGUCCCCAUGUCCCCUCCAUGUCCCCGGCACUCAGGGACACCUCUCAGCCCCAAACCAUCCAUCGCCACAACAGGGCUGGGGACACUCGGGGACAUGUUGGAGACGCGUCGCUGCGCUGUGUCGGCGCCCGGUGCUUUGGUC
Molecule: long non-coding RNA, 1015 nt
Filed under: Struthio camelus australis
Lineage: Eukaryota; Metazoa; Chordata; Aves; Struthioniformes; Struthionidae
Description: lncRNA (ENSSCUG00000009672.1)
Source: RNAcentral